This 271-nucleotide ribosomal RNA is filed under the name Duganella fentianensis. RNAcentral describes it as "Bacterial small subunit ribosomal RNA". It matches the Rfam family "Bacterial small subunit ribosomal RNA", at positions 328 to 591 of the family's 1533-position model. The record is from Rfam by way of RNAcentral. Lineage: Bacteria; Pseudomonadati; Pseudomonadota; Betaproteobacteria; Burkholderiales; Oxalobacteraceae.
GGUCCAGACUCCUACGGGAGGCAGCAGUGGGGAAUUUUGGACAAUGGGGGCAACCCUGAUCCAGCAAUGCCGCGUGAGUGAAGAAGGCCUUCGGGUUGUAAAGCUCUUUUGUCAGGGAAGAAACGGUUUUGGCUAAUAUCCAGAGCUAAUGACGGUACCUGAAGAAUAAGCACCGGCUAACUACGUGCCAGCAGCCGCGGUAAUACGUAGGGUGCAAGCGUUAAUCGGAAUUACUGGGCGUAAAGCGUGCGCAGGCGGUUUUGUAAGACUG